AUUGAACGCUGGCGGCAGGCUUAACACAUGCAAGUCGAGCGGAGUGAUGGUGCUUGCACUAUCACUUAGCGGCGGACGGGUGAGUAAUGCCUAGGAAUCUGCCUAUUAGUGGGGGACAACAUCUCGAAAGGGAUGCUAAUACCGCAUACGUCCUACGGGAGAAAGCAGGGGAUCACUUGUGACCUUGCGCUAAUAGAUGAGCCUAAGUCGGAUUAGCUAGUUGGUGGGGUAAAGGCCUACCAAGGCGACGAUCUGUAGCGGGUCUGAGAGGAUGAUCCGCCACACUGGGACUGAGACACGGCCCAGACUCCUACGGGAGGCAGCAGUGGGGAAUAUUGGACAAUGGGGGGAACCCUGAUCCAGCCAUGCCGCGUGUGUGAAGAAGGCCUUAUGGUUGUAAAGCACUUUAAGCGAGGAGGAGGCUCUUUUGGUUAAUACCCAAGAUGAGUGGACGUUACUCGCAGAAUAAGCACCGGCUAACUCUGUGCCAGCAGCCGCGGUAA
RNAcentral lists this ribosomal RNA (503 nucleotides) under uncultured bacterium. RNAcentral describes it as "partial 16S ribosomal RNA". It matches the Rfam family "Bacterial small subunit ribosomal RNA", at positions 30 to 523 of the family's 1533-position model. The record is from RNAcentral.